UUCCAAUUUGCUCUCAAACAG
RNAcentral lists this small nuclear RNA (21 nucleotides) under Arabidopsis thaliana (thale cress). RNAcentral's name for it is "snRNA_02205". Lineage: Eukaryota; Viridiplantae; Streptophyta; Magnoliopsida; Brassicales; Brassicaceae. The record is from RNAcentral.